RNAcentral lists this microRNA precursor (62 nucleotides) under Sphenodon punctatus (tuatara). RNAcentral's name for it is "Spt-Mir-130-P1c_pre stem-loop". It matches the Rfam family "mir-130 microRNA precursor family", at positions 12 to 72 of the family's 83-position model. From Rfam's summary of the family: The hairpin precursors (represented here) are predicted based on base pairing and cross-species conservation -- their extents are not known. In this case the mature sequence is excised from the 3' arm of the hairpin. The record is from RNAcentral. Lineage: Eukaryota; Metazoa; Chordata; Lepidosauria; Sphenodontia; Sphenodontidae.
GCUCUUUUCACAUUGUGCUACUGUCUGAGCCCAUCCCUAGCAGUGCAAUGUAAAAAGGGCAU